AUUGAACGCUGGCGGCAGGCCUAACACAUGCAAGUCGAGCGAGCGGCGGACGGGUGAGUAAUGUAUGGGGACUGCCCGAUAGAGGGGGAUAACUACUGGAAACGGUGGCUAAUACCGCAUACUAUCGGAUAACCCAUAGGGGAUUAGCUAGUAGGUGGGGUAAAGGCUCACCUAGGCGACGAUCUCUGGCUGGUAUGAGUGGAUGAUCAGCCCCACUGUGAUUGAUACCGUGCCCAGGCUCCUACGUAGGAAGAAUUGGGGAAUAUUGCACGAUGGGCGCAAGCUUGAUGCAGCCAUGCCGCGUGUAUGAAGAAGGCCUUAGGGUUGUAAAGUACUUUCAGCGGGGAGGCGUUACCCGCAGAAGAAGCACCGGCUAACUCCGUGCCAGCAGCCGCGGUAAUAC
RNAcentral lists this ribosomal RNA (403 nucleotides) under uncultured bacterium. RNAcentral describes it as "partial 16S ribosomal RNA". It matches the Rfam family "Bacterial small subunit ribosomal RNA", at positions 30 to 526 of the family's 1533-position model. The record is from RNAcentral.